UACAUGGGGUGCAAACGUUGCUCGGAAUUACUGGGCGUAAAGCGUGCGUAGGCGGUUCUCCAAGUCCGUUGUGAAAGCCCCGGGCUCAACCUGGGAAUGGCAGUGGAAACUAGGGGACUGGAAUCUGGCAGAGGGGGGUGGAAUGCCGCGUGUAGCAGUGAAAUGCGUAGAGAUGCGGCGGAACACCGAUGGCGAAGGCAGCCCCCUGGGCUGAGAUUGACGCUCAGGCACGAAAGCGUGGGGAGCAAACAGG
RNAcentral lists this ribosomal RNA (253 nucleotides) under uncultured bacterium. Its description in RNAcentral is "partial 16S ribosomal RNA". It matches the Rfam family "Bacterial small subunit ribosomal RNA", at positions 524 to 776 of the family's 1533-position model. The record is from RNAcentral.